RNAcentral lists this small nuclear RNA (21 nucleotides) under Arabidopsis thaliana (thale cress). RNAcentral describes it as "snRNA_14767". Lineage: Eukaryota; Viridiplantae; Streptophyta; Magnoliopsida; Brassicales; Brassicaceae. The record is from RNAcentral.
GUGCUUGAAAUUGUCGGGAGG